Trichechus manatus latirostris (Florida manatee) is the source of this 310-nucleotide long non-coding RNA. RefSeq lists it as uncharacterized. The record is from RefSeq and is a predicted model, not a curated record. The transcript has 3 exons. Lineage: Eukaryota; Metazoa; Chordata; Mammalia; Sirenia; Trichechidae.
AGGAGCCGGAAUCGACGACAACGGGUUUGGUUUGGUUUUUUUCGAGUAUAUUGAAGUGUUUCCUGUUACCAGCUUUCCUGUCCCCUCCUGCCUCCUGGGCUGGUGUUGUUACCACAGUGGCGGGUCAGAGCCACCUGCCGCAGAAGCCAAUACUGAGACAGAGUUCAUUGUGUUACUGCAAUAGCGUGGAUUGGAGCCGCUGCUGCAAUAACCAAUUCUGAGACGGGUGAGGUGAGCCCCAAGAGUUUUAUUAUAUGUCGAUAUAUAGGAGACAGAGGGGAAUAGAUUCCUCCAAAAAACCCAUCUCCCC